GAUGAACGCUGGCGGCGUGCCUAAUACAUGCAAGUCGAGCGAACAGACGAGGAGCUUGCUCCUCUGACGUUAGCGGCGGACGGGUGAGUAAAACGUGGAUAACCUACCUAUAAGACUGGGAUAACUUCGGGAAACCGGAGCUAAUACCGGAUAAUAUAUUGAACCGCAUGGUUCAAUAGUGAAAGACGGUUUUGCUGUCACUUAUAGAUGGAUCCGCGCCGCAUUAGCUAGUUGGUAAGGUAACGGCUUACCAAGGCAACGAUGCGUAGCCGACCUGAGAGGGUGAUCGGCCACACUGGAACUGAGACACGGUCCAGACUCCUACGGGAGGCAGCAGUAGGGAAUCUUCCGCAAUGGGCGAAAGCCUGACGGAGCAACGCCGCGUGAGUGAUGAAGGUCUUCGGAUCGUAAAACUCUGUUAUUAGGGAAGAACAAAUGUGUAAGUAACUAUGCACGUCUUGACGGUACCUAAUCAGAAAGCCACGGCUAACUACGUG
This 497-nucleotide ribosomal RNA is filed under the name uncultured bacterium. RNAcentral describes it as "partial 16S ribosomal RNA". It matches the Rfam family "Bacterial small subunit ribosomal RNA", at positions 28 to 507 of the family's 1533-position model. The record is from RNAcentral.